Long non-coding RNA from Gasterosteus aculeatus aculeatus (three-spined stickleback), 4381 nucleotides. RefSeq lists it as uncharacterized. Lineage: Eukaryota; Metazoa; Chordata; Actinopteri; Perciformes; Gasterosteidae. The record is from RefSeq and is a predicted model, not a curated record.
GAGUCCGAUUAUGCCAGCUCACUGGGGCACCACUUGCUCCAGGGACUGCCAAUGAGUCUCAUAGUCCUCUGGGACUGAUAUCUGAAGGGAGACUGGAGAAGUGUUGCUCGCCCUGUAAGGCCCGUCCGAGGCUUUGGCGGCAGCCGUAAAUUUAUCCUCGGAACCUGCUGGGAUGUAGAGGAGCCGAGCGGUGGGGAAAGUCUUGCAAGGACCGAGGAUAGUCUGCCAUAAAAGUCUUUAAAUCUGAUGAGAAAUUAAUUUUGCGCUGCUGCAGCUCCUCCAACCCCCUUGACGACCGUGGAAACGAAGGUUUGCGACACUCGGAGCGCCGUGACUGUUUUCAUCAAAAGAACACUUGCCUCCUUUGGAGACUCGCCCUUGCGUGGGAAGAUUUGCGGCAGGAAACGACCGCAACACAAUCUGCUGUGCGUCCAUUACUGACAAUGUCAUUUUUGCACAAGGUUAACAGAGUUUGCACAGAGUUAUAUUUCUUGUUUGUGCAAUAAGCCUGAUAAAGUAAGUUAAUAUAAUACUCAACAUCUUCUUCAAAUAUUCUUUUCUCAGAAAAAAUGGUGUCAAAUUUGGCAUAAUCUUGCUCAAGCCAGUAAGCCACAGUACAGUAACAAAAUACUUAAUUACAUCCAGCAUAAAUCCCGCAACAAUCUGAUAAAGCGAUCAGGCCCAAAUUGCACCGCGGCACGGGAACACACUGUCGAGCACAGGCCCGGACCAGCAUACGUCGUCUCAUCAUUCAGCCCAGCCGCGAGCCACACUAAGAUCAUAAUGAGUCUCUGUCAGCGGCAUCCAGCAGUAUUGAACCAGAUCCCGUGUGUCAGGGGAGCAGCCGAGGCAGAGGCACAUCUCCUAUACCUCUAAGUCCUGUCACCAGCUUGUAUUCGGCUUUGGCUGAUUAAAACUGAUGGGGUGACAUGAUUGUGACCUGUAUGGAUUUCUGAUUCUCCCAGCCACACUGCCCGACUACAUGUGUCUUUUGCCUUUGACAAACCCACCAGGGAGCCCUCGAAACCGAGCUGCAGAAUGCAUUAUUCAAAAGGCAGCAGGCAAUCGAUACCAAGAAAUGUAACGAAAUGGGAGGGGGAGAGAUCCAGAGAGAUGGAGAGGGGGAGAGGAAGAGAGAGUAGAAGGCAUCCAAACUUCCCUGGCUAUGUCCGUCAGCAGCAGUCGUAAGUAUUAACUACUAAUCCCGGUGUGAGUUUCCCCAUCUCAACAAGGAACUUUGGCAUAGCUCACUAAUCCCCCGGAGGAGUUAAAUCCAGGACGAGCAUCAUCAAUCUUUAGGGGUUAAUAUGUUAUCAUCCUGCCACCACUACGUUCAACACCUGAUUCCUGGCCGUGUAUAACGUGGCAAUAAAAAGUUAGUUUUCCAUGCUACACCUUCCAAAAGAUAACAUUCGAGAACCCUGUGUUGUGCUCCCUGGCUGCAUCAAAUGAAAUACAAUCAGAAAAGACAUUAUGCAGCUUGAUUACCAUUUCACUGAUUGAAAUGUUGUUUUAAACAUGAUGUUUUGAUUCUAAAUGCAUGUUACAAAAUCCACUUGAAACACUUUCUUUUUUGGUAUGGCAUGAGAUUGUUGUGUGUUUAACUUUUGUGAUUGACGUCUCCAAAUUCCUUUCCAUCCUGACACUUCCUUACUGUCACUCUCACUAAAUGCUAGAGAGAGACUGUAGUUUGCCGAAGAUUAAGGGGGGAUUUCUAGCAUAUCCCCCCCAAAACAAACGUAGUAAUUGGGUACAAUGAGAAGAAAGUAGACAUGGGGCUGUGGUUACGUCUGGCAGACAGACUGCAGUCCUCACAGGACGAAACACUGCACGCACUCCUUAACAACCACAUGGAGCAGCUCAAACCCCUAAAAACAAUGGAGCUUUCAUGAGUUCGAUUUACACUCACUAUUGCUUCAACGCAAACUUUGCAAACUGUGCUGAUUGUGUGACAGCUGGAACUGCAGUGACUGCUGUGGAUGUGAGCUUUUAAGUGCUUCUGUGAAUGGCCAUUAAUCAUUUCCAAUCUUUAAUUACUUUAAAUUUCGCAGCCAGUGACUUUCCCUGAAGAUUUUGGAAUUAUGCUGUAUGAUUGAGCUUCGGACUCUAAGUCUAAGAGGAUUUCUGUGCUUUUACUGUUUGCUUUUAAAGCAGCACUGUACAGGAUAACCGUGUCCAAAAAGAUGGAGUUGCUCUCUGCUUAUGUCAUGGUCGGUCUGAGAUCCCCCAAACUGGUUUACUGAGAGCCUCAAAGGCCUGAAGUGUGUCCGUGAGAGCGGCGCCCUGACAUACAGCUGGUUGGGGACUGACUGCCUCUGGCAUCCACACCUGGUUCCAGUAACUCACUCCACAGGACUGAGCUACAUUACAGUACGGUUGUACGUUUUCAUAAUAUAUGUGAGACCGACAUUAUGGUUACUGAUAUGUCUAUAUGGAAAUGGUGGUUCAAGAUGUGUAAGCUUAAAAGUAAAGGUUUUAAGAUAAAGAAAGAAAAUGUUUGUAGUUGGAGGGUAUGUACUGUCUUUAAUAAACGGGACCUCAGAAAUACUCUGUGAAGUCACUGGUGCUAAGCUAAUGUUAGCCAAACGUGUAAGUCUGGCUGGCUUUUUGAACUAUUUUGUGUCAUUGUAUCAUGUGAUAAAAUGAAAUGAAACGCUCAUACUUAUAAAACUAGUAGUUCCCCUCUGCUCAACGUAGCGUCAUUGUUGAAUAUAUACGCAAGAAGCCGUUAAUUGCAAAAAAGCUCUAAAUCCUGAAGACAUGAACUGUUAUUGAUUAGCUAGAUCUUUUCUCCAGAAGAGUUUCAUAAAAGAAGACAAAGCCAGAACGAUCAGUAGAGCUAGUUGAACGUUCCAUGUCUAAUUAUUUUACAAGCUAAUAUAUAAAUCAAAUAACUUUAACGGAAAAAAAGCAGUAUUGCUUAGAACAUGUACAACAUUAUGCAUAGUAAGAAUUUGAUUUAGUUUUAGCAGCUGUUGCGAUAAGUCAUGCUAAUUUCAAUGCAACCCCCCCCCCCCCCCCUUAAACAAUUUAAUAACUGCUAAAAAGUCAAACAGACUGGUUAAUCCAUCUAUGUUAAUCUUUUCUUUACCGGGGUCCAAUUAAUUUUCCCUUCAUUUCUCGGCUCAUUAUUGAACUCUCAGUUCAUAAGCUUGUAUCUCACCUCUAAUGAUCUGAGCAGGAGGGCAGAAACAGCCUCAAAGUUGCCGGCAAAGCCCACUAAAUGGGCCUUCAUUAAAGCAUUACUGCAGAUGGUUCAAUGGGAAACAUAUAGACUUCUAGAUUCUUGAACAUGUAUAUGAAUAUAUGUGGAAACACAGCUUGGGAGUGAAAAAGGCCGCUGCCCUACCAAUUCUACGAAAAUGAAUUGAAUGAUUGGUAAUUGCAACAAUACACAGUCUAGUUAAAGGACUUGAGUGAAUAGGUUGAAUCAAAAAGGCUGCCUGAAUGACUUGCCUCCGACUCCGCCUGUGAUUGACACUCUAAAUACAGUCAUGGCAGGGGAGCUGGAGCUCAGGCUUGGGGGGAGCAUUUGCCUGGGGUUUUCCUGCUCCCUUGUUUUUAAUUAGUCACACUGAAAACUGUAACUGGAGCCGGGGCUUAAACAAAUUAAAUUCCUACAUAAUAGCUAGUUUUAAUACAAUUGUGGAGCAAUUAGGAUGGAUAUUUGUUGCCGGGCGGCAUAAUAAUGCACGCUAUUUCUUACUUCCUCUCCUUUCCUUCUUUGCAGUAUCUUGCAGAGUGUUUACUGCCAGAGGAUUUCUCCUUGGGCAUCAGGCACAGAUGUGCGCCCAAGUACAGCAUAUGGGGCUUGAUUCCUGUAUACGUCCAAGCUAAUGUGAAAGGUGGGACCUUAGGACCUGGGAGCCUCAGCAUAGAGCGGGAGGCUUAAACUCAAGGAGAGCCUCUCCAUAUGAAGGAGAUCCCGUGAGAGUUGAGCAACUCAUGUUUGUUCUUGUUGUCCGGCAUGUGCUGAAGUCUGGGUUGCGCUGUUUGUUGCUCGCCAGUACCGUGUGGGUGAGCAAACUAUACUAAGGAGAAGGUCAGACCUGAACCAGACCUGGUAAGUCCAGGGUCCUACCUACUGGUGCACCGGUGCAUUGGGCCUAGGAGGUAGGAAGUUGGGCUUGCAAGCACAUUAUGCGUUUUGUAAUGAGAAGGAUGAUGGGUACUCUGUGAUUAAUGGCUGUUUUGUACAUUGCAGGCUGAACUGGUGACACGGAGUGGCCAGCAGGGCAGCCACUGCUCUUUUUCUCCGACUAUAGUUUUUGUUUAGAUUAUGCUCUAGUGCCUCCAUCUUGCUCUCUCUCUCUUUAUAGAAAUAACAAACUGAUAUUGUGCCUUUUUGAUGACCGUUGCUUCCCCCUUCCCCACUUCUAUU